This 1346-nucleotide ribosomal RNA is filed under the name uncultured bacterium. RNAcentral's name for it is "partial 16S ribosomal RNA". It matches the Rfam family "Bacterial small subunit ribosomal RNA", at positions 28 to 1381 of the family's 1533-position model. The record is from RNAcentral.
GACGAACGCUGGCGGCGUGCUUAACACAUGCAAGUCGAACGGAAAGGCCCUGCUUUUGUGGGGUGCUCGAGUGGCGAACGGGUGAGUAACACGUGAGUAACCUGCCCUUGACUUUGGGAUAACUUCAGGAAACUGGGGCUAAUACCGGAUAGGAGCUCCUGCUGCAUGGUGGGGGUUGGAAAGUUUCGGCGGUUGGGGAUGGACUCGCGGCUUAUCAGCUUGUUGGUGGGGUAGUGGCUUACCAAGGCUUUGACGGGUAGCCGGCCUGAGAGGGUGACCGGCCACAUUGGGACUGAGAUACGGCCCAGACUCCUACGGGAGGCAGCAGUGGGGAAUAUUGCACAAUGGGCGGAAGCCUGAUGCAGCAACGCCGCGUGCGGGAUGACGGCCUUCGGGUUGUAAACCGCUUUCGCCUGUGACGAAGCGUGAGUGACGGUAAUGGGUAAAGAAGCACCGGCUAACUACGUGCCAGCAGCCGCGGUGAUACGUAGGGUGCGAGCGUUGUCCGGAUUUAUUGGGCGUAGAGGGCUCGUAGGUGGUUGAUCGCGUCGGAAGUGUAAUCUUGGGGCUUAACCCUGAGCGUGCUUUCGAUACGGGUUGACUUGAGGAAGGUAGGGGAGAAUGGAAUUCCUGGUGGAGCGGUGGAAUGCGCAGAUAUCAGGAGGAACACCAGUGGCGAAGGCGGUUCUCUGGGCCUUUCCUGACGCUGAGGAGCGAAAGCGUGGGGAGCGAACAGGCUUAGAUACCCUGGUAGUCCACGCUGUAAACGGUGGGUACUAGGUGUGGGGUCCAUUCCACGGGUUCCGUGCCGUAGCUAACGCUUUAAGUACCCCGCCUGGGGAGUACGGCCGCAAGGCUAAAACUCAAAGGAAUUGACGGGGCCCCGCACAAGCGGCGGAGCAUGCGGAUUAAUUCGAUGCAACGCGUAGAACCUUACCUGGGUUUGACAUGGAUCGGGAGUGCUCAGAGACGGGUGUGCCUCUUUUGGGGUCGGUUCACAGGUGGUGCAUGGCUGUCGUCAGCUCGUGUCGUGAGAUGUUGGGUUAAGUCCCGCAACGAGCGCAACCCUUGUUCACUGUUGCCAGCACGUUAUGGUGGGGACUCAGUGGAGACCGCCGGGGUCAACUCGGAGGAAGGUAGGGAUGACGUCAAGUCAUCAUGCCCCUUAUGUCCAGGGCUUCACGCAUGCUACAAUGGCUGGUACAGAGAGUGGCGAGCCUGUGAGGGUGAGCGAAUCUCGGAAAGCCGGUCUCAGUUCGGAUUGGGGUCUGCAACUCGACCUCAUGAAGUCGGAGUCGCUAGUAAUCGCAGAUCAGCAACGCUGCGGUGAAUACGUUCCCGGGGCU